Molecule: ribosomal RNA, 477 nt
Filed under: uncultured bacterium
Lineage: Bacteria
Description: bacterial SSU rRNA
Rfam family: Bacterial small subunit ribosomal RNA
Source: RNAcentral
UUCGCAAUGCCCGAAAGGGUGACGAAGCGACGCCGCGUGUGGGAAGAAGGCCUUCGGGUUGUAAACCACUGUCGGGAGUUAAGAAAUGCAAGGAUAUGAAUAGUGUCUUUGCUUGACUAAGGCUCCGGAGGAAGCCACGGCUAACUCUGUGCCAGCAGCCGCGGUAAUACAGAGGCGGCAAGCGUUGUUCGGAAUUAUUGGGCGUAAAGAGCACGUAGGCGGCUAUGUAAGUCGGUUGUGAAAGCCUUCCGCUCAACGGAAGAACAGCAUCCGAUACUACAUGGCUUGAGUGCGGGAGGGGAGAGUGGAACUUCUGGUGGAGCGGUGAAAUGCGUAGAUAUCAGAAGGAACGCCGGCGGCGAAAGCGGCUCUCUGGCCCAUAACUGACGCUGAGUGUGCAAAAGCUAGGGGAGCAAACGGGAUUAGAUACCCCGGUAGUCCUAGCCGUAAACGAUGGGCACUAAGUAGAGGGGUUUU